UAGGGAGACCAUCUGAUAGUCGACCGAACCUAAACAAUAGGUCAAUAUCAGUCAUCCCUGGUCGUUCGAGGCAUAGAUGUCAAAGCUUUCAAACUAUUAACUGGUUCGGAACAUGGGCUAUUAGCUCAGUUGGUUAGAGCGCACCCCUGAUAAGGGUGAGGUCCCUGGUUCAAAUCCAGGAUGGCCCACCUGGAAAAAAAGCGAUGAAUUGUAAGUAAUGAGUAAUGGAUAAUCAAUGAUUAAUUCAGGACUCAUACAAUCAAAAUCAGAACUUGCUUAGUGGGGGUAUAGCUCAGUUGGUAGAGCGCCUGCCUUGCACGCAGGAAGUCAGCGGUUCGAGUCCGCUUACCUCCACUCUCACUAGCGUCGCUAACUAUAACCAACCACAAAACAAAGAGAAAUCAGCACCCAGACUAGCUUGGUCAAAAAAGAAGUCGGAAUGCUGGAGUCUAGAACUCUAGUCAGAACCUUGAAAACUGCAUAGAAAUUAAGUCAUCAAAGCUUGUAAGUCAUCCGAGCAAUCGGAGCAUCUGACAAGCGACCACCAUCAAAAAAUCAAG
Molecule: transfer RNA, 560 nt
Filed under: Microcoleus vaginatus S32
Lineage: Bacteria; Bacillati; Cyanobacteriota; Cyanophyceae; Oscillatoriales; Microcoleaceae
Description: partial 16S-23S ribosomal RNA intergenic spacer
Rfam family: tRNA (bases 282-354)
Source: RNAcentral